GAGAAACCGGCAGUUCUUAAAAGCUGAAGAAUUCCAAAAGGAACUCCGUUAUUUUGACAGGAAAAUACAACAAACAAUAUUGUUUACAUGUAGCGCGUCAAUUCCGCAUGUUAUGAAAGACUCUCUCGCUCUGUAUCUUUCUUUGCGUGCGUGUAUGUGAGAGAAAGCGACGGCGAGUCGUGCGCCUUCACGCCAGAGUUUAUGGAAUUACUGAAGCAUCAGUCUGGAUCCAACCCUUAAAAAGAUCCGAGAUGACCAAACACCUGAGAAGAGAUGGCAACACCUCAGAGGACCACGGAGGAUGCCAACCCUCAGACAACACAUAAUUACCAAGUUAAGAGAUCGUGGGACGGAGACGGGAGAGAGUACACACCUCUGAUGAUGAGUAUAGAGACGGUCCACAAGGAGAUGAUGACUGGAAGAGACGUUGGAGCGAGGAGCAGAAGGUAACUCUGGAGGAGACACAAAAGAAAUUGAACACCGAUGGCUACCGGCACCGAAAAUUCCUUAUCUGGGAUUCUGGCUGUGGUUGUGUGCCUAUUUCAAUCCCCCCAAGGAAUGGAUCCUGGGAACGUUUUGGGCCUCCAUUUCGAAGUAAACAUAUUACAGCAGUCCCAGCACUCAAUCUCAGUGCAUCAAACUUUGGAGAUCUGCAAACCUUGCAAACACCCUCACAUACUGACACUCUCCAAAGUUUGAAGCAGUACAUUAUCUGCAGGACUCCAACCAAGGCAAAAGUGAAAGGAUGGCAGCAGGAUACAGAUAUAAAAGCGGAGUCAGAAAAGGAACUAAGGACUGGAAACCAAAGCGAAAGAAACCUGUCAGUCUGGAGGCUCUGGGGAGCAGCAUGUCGCCUGAAUCUGCUGCCAAUACCUGGAAAAAAGUAGCUUAUCACAGUGCGUUCUGGUUUGCUGUGUCCAUAUAAAGGAUAUACGUGACGCUGGCUUGGAAUUUGGCCAAAACGAGGUAUCUUAUGAGGCAGCAUACAGACAGCUCACUAUGUUUCGGAACGCAGCAUACGUGUCAAAAAACUGGAGCCAAUUUCCAUAAAGUAUAUUGUGUUUAAUCCUGCUGUCACAGCUGAGGAUGAUUUUGCUGACAUUUGAAUAUAGCCUCAAUUCUUUACCUUGCAGCCUAAGCCUGGCUGUGGAGAACUCAAAUAUUGAGCGUAGCUACCUUUAUCACAGCAUUCGAUCGAUACAUCAUUGCACAGCUGUCAGAUAAGUCAUAUCAGCCACGCAGAUUCCAGUCGGCCCGUCUGUAUGCUUCCCCUUUUCUAAACUGGAUUGUUUUCUCUGGCCCCUUUUAAAAUGGGAAAUAGCUUUGGUAGGAACGUUCGAGCGGCUCUAACAAAAGGUGAACCGUCAUCUAGGUAAAGGUUAUCAGACGUGGCGCCCUGCAAAGUUUCUGGCACCCAUCCUGAGCGCCGGCCAAUUCCAGGCUGAAUAAGCAACACAAAAUGUGUCUCCUUGCUGCAAAUGCCAGACAAUACUCCAGUGCCAAUUAGUUUGACACUGUUGUAAAACACGGGCAAUGUAUCCUGGAAGAACCCUGCUUGCAUCAUGCUUCAUGCAUUGGUAAUGACAAAAGAACUUAAAUUGCCUUUCUCUGCUGCCCUUGAAAUUUUAAAUUGCUUGCUCUGUCUCCUUCUAUUUGUCUUUCAUGGUUCCUGAUCCCAGAGUCAUACUCUCUCAACAAUAUAGAGUGUUGUAAAAAUGGCCGGAUACCUUUAGAAAUCUUGGUUUAGAUUUGAUUUAUAGAACGCAGAGAUAUUUUUUUGGCAGAAAAGGUGUGUUAAACUAACUGCUAUAUAUAAAAAAAGCAUCUAUGUGUGGUCCCAAGGAUUUUUACACACCUAAAAACUGUCAUUGUCAACA
Molecule: RNA transcript, 1877 nt
Organism: Onychostoma macrolepis
Lineage: Eukaryota; Metazoa; Chordata; Actinopteri; Cypriniformes; Cyprinidae
Exons: 6
Source: RefSeq, a predicted model, not a curated record